Molecule: long non-coding RNA, 3187 nt
Filed under: Triticum aestivum (bread wheat)
Lineage: Eukaryota; Viridiplantae; Streptophyta; Magnoliopsida; Poales; Poaceae
Description: long non-coding RNA (TAES_LNC012247)
Source: RNAcentral
CAGAAUAACAUUCUAACUGUACACGCUUUCAUACGGUUUCAGUUUAAUUUGGCCAUGUUUCUAUGCAUUCCUCUGCUCUUCCAAUUCCUGUGAACCAAACACCCAAGUUGACAAAAAUCAUGUGUUUACAAAUGCUCUAUUACCCACGUGCAUUCCUAUCCUAUUCCGGUGUUUUUCCAAUCCCUGCAUUUUUAGAAUCCUGCAAGCCAAAGGAGCCCUAACAAAAUUACUUCAGUUACAAGUAGGUGUCGAAGAAAACUUUGUGUGGUUUGGCCUGCUCCUACCGCGAUGUCGUCCACCUCACCUGAGCUGCUCCAUCGACAGAAGCAUCCAGCAAACCAGACAUCAUGACUCCUGACCGUCUUUCGCCGCCUCAGAUCUCCUUCGCUGCCGCCGACUCCCACCACAACGGCAUCACCAUCAUUGACUCAGCAGAUGAACCUGAGGAGUACACGGGUCCACAAGAGAGGUCACACUGUUUUGUUUCUGCUUAUAUUAUGCAUUGCUUAAUAUUACCUGCUACUUUAUCAUCAUGUUCACCUCUUAGACUCCAAGUCAGGUCCAAAUUAAUAUUCAAACUUGAGUUUUAAAAUUAGUUGUGGGGUACAUAUCAGGGCAGCAAUGAAUAGUAUCUCUAUCUAUUAUCUGGCACAUAUCAAGUUAGCAAUGAAUAGUAUAUUGGCAUAUGUUGUUCAUCUUGGAUGGGAAAGAAAUAGUAAAGCAAUCAUCAUCUGUCUUUUUAUUAAAUUAAAGCUAUCAUCAGCCUGCUAUCAUUAUUUUUGGAUCCAUCCACUGGUUGUUACCAUCACUCUAGAUUUCUGCAUGCUCUCCUUACAUAAUCUCAUUAUAUUUUUUGUAUGCAUGUCAGAUAUUUUACACAGUUGUGCUGAACAUGUAGAGAAAAAGAGAAGAGUUUUGCGUGGCAAUACGAUGUCAUGCAAACAUCGCUCCAUGGUGGGUUCAAUGGCAAACCCUCCCCCCUCCCCAGAUUGUAAUCCAAAGGAAUAUAUCUAUUCUGAGGCAGAUUCAGACGUUGACCACUCCUAUUUAACCCCAAGGUGUUUGCUCUAACUUGGCAUGAUGAUGUGAGUCAUAUCAUGCAUACGUUGCCUUGCAGUGCCUACUUUCGACAUCAUGUAUGUCAUCUUCUUAGUUUAGAGAUGUUCUGUAAUGCCGCCUAUUUAGUUUCUAUAUCAUAUAUGGAAAUUAUGCAGUCUCAUCUCUUUUAUCCAGCCAUAAUAUAUGUGAAAAAUGCAAUGCCAUCAUGUUUAACCAAGCAUCAUAUAUUUGAAUGAUAUCUUGCCCAUCCUUUUCUUCAUUACAUUUCCAUUUUUCGACAAUAUUUGUACAUUAAACUACUCUUCCUGUGAAUCAGCCAUUUGAGUGAGUGAUGGGAAAAUCUGGAGUGCAAAGAAGGUCUUUAGAGCAGACAGUGCUACCCGUCGAAGCAGAUCUCUUGCUGGGUCCCGAUAGCUCCUCAGAGAUGGAUUCACAGAGAGAUGCCCAGUCCUUUUCUUUAUAUUAAUCUCCAUUAUCUUCCUCUGCCAACAAACUCUUUCUUUACAACUAACCCCUGUGUUCUGUCACUAUUUGCUGAGAGAAGUUCCUGUGUACCCGUGUGCUUGAUGAGUAUGAGAUCAUACUCAUUCUUGCUAUUGUUGUUGAUUUUGUAGAAGUAGCAAAUGAUGGAUGUGCUGAUGAGAAUGAUGAACAGUAGGAGUAGCUCUACGGGUUGGGAAUAAAUAAAGAAGUUGCUUGUAUCAUAACCUUUGUAAUAGCUAGUAAUGAAUAAAGUUGGCUCUUGUGCAUACUGGAAAAUAAUUUGUUUACUAGCCUAACAUGCUUAUAAAUUCGAGAUUUAUAAGCAUGUGGCGAUUGUCACGGCUAAGACUCACGCACUUUAACUGUCACGCCCCGAGACCGGGCCUAGGCGAGACAGCCGCCGCGCACCUAUAGACCAGAGGCCUAUAGUCACGCAAGGCAUGAUAAAGCAGGCAUAAACCAGAAGUGGAUCACAAAAGCUAAUAUAUUUACUAUACAAAUUCCUUGACAUCUACAAAUAGUUGAGUAAAGACAUCAUAUUCUCUAGUCGCUUCCCACCCGCUGGUUAAGCCUAGUCUUGGAUGAAGACAUCUUCUGAACAUACAUAAGUUGAACAUACUUAAGUUACCUCGUUCGCAUCUAAAAAAACAGAGGAAGCAAGGGUGAGUAUGACAAAUCAUACUCAGCAAGCAGAUACUUCACUAUUCAACAAGGAGCGAUGCUAUGAUGGUGUAGAUCAACAGACGAAAUGAACAAGGAAAUUAUUGGCAUCACACAUGACCGCAAGCUUCCCAACCCGGGAGUCACAGGGGUGAAAUUUCACACUUUUACGCUCUUAAGAGGGGUACUCCGACGUCGACAGUCUCGACUAGAACCACACAGGUUCCAGAAGAGCAGAGCUCUUUUACCCACUAAGACCCGGACACCUGGACCUACUGAUGUCGGUCGCUCCUGCGGAUCCAUCACCGACACGUUCCCGAACGAGGUCUGUCCUUAGCAGAGAACCCAGACAGUCCCAUACCUGAACUGUGACCAGUACAAUACGUUUGCCGUCGUGACACCAAUAUAGAUGGAUGUGUGUUUGAAUCAACAUUAGGACCACUGAAGUAUCGGUCAAAGACAAUACACUCAUGGCUUUUCAUGAGUUCCUCCAAAAUACUCUGGUUCCAUCAACAAAUGGAUUAUGAGGAAAACACAUCCCUCUUUCAAGGAUCAACAGAGGAUCAACAAAGAUCAAGGUGCAAUGAUAUUACCAGAUAAUCAAGCAAGACAACAACAAAGAGGGAUCAGGGAGUUUAGCAAAGCAGCUACUUGCCUCAGAUAAUAUGAUUUCUCCUUUAGAAUAAUAUUUUGCAAGAAGAUGAAACUCCAUCAUCUUUGUAUAAAAUCUGACGAACACACAUAUACUCAUAUUUCUUCUGAUGUAUGGCUCGGCUCUUCCCUCCAGCAGCACCUAAACGCUCUAUUCUUCUUCAAAUGUGGAUGCAUGCAUGAAUUCUUCAUCUCUCUUCUUUAUCUUUCUGGUGUCUUUCUUUCUCUCAGGCUCUCUCCUCCAGUGUCUAUGUCUUUCUCUCAGAGCUGUGCUUUGAGCAGCGUGACCCACAACUAUUUAUAGGAGGCGAGCGCCCGUGCAAGUCUAAAAUAU